GGCUCUCUGCUUACAUAAAUAUAGGGAGUCGAGCCUGCCCAGUGAAUUUUUAAACGGCCGCGGUACUCUGACCGUGCAAAGGUAGCAUAAUCAUUUGCCUUAUAAUUGAAGGCUAGUAUGAAUGGUUUGACGAGAACAAUACUGUCUCCUUUUUAUUUUCAAGAACUUAACUUUUAGGUGAAGAGGCCUAAAUUUUAUUGAAGGACAAGAAGACCCUAUCGAGCUUAAAAGACAUUAUAGAAGUUUAUAUAUUUUUAAAUAAAUUUUCUAUUUAGCUUUUUAGUUGGGGCGACUAAGGAACAAAAAAAGCUUCUUGCUGAUAAUAAGCAGUCAUGUUUAGAUCCGAUAAUAAUCGAUCAAAGAAAUUAGUUACCGUAGGGAUAACAGCAUAAUCUCUCUUGAGAGACCUAAUCGAAAGAGGGGGUUGUGACCUCGAUGUUGGACUAGAAUAUCCUAAAGAUGCAGAAGUCUUUGAGGGUCGGUCUGUUCGACCGUUAAAAUUCU
Molecule: ribosomal RNA, 504 nt
Filed under: Juga nigrina
Lineage: Eukaryota; Metazoa; Mollusca; Gastropoda; Semisulcospiridae
Description: partial large subunit ribosomal RNA
Rfam family: Bacterial large subunit ribosomal RNA
Source: RNAcentral